UAACCCGCACCACUUAUCGUGGUGGGAGACAGUGUCAGGCGGGCAGUUUGACUGGGGCGGUCGCCUCCUAAAAGGGAACGGAGGCGCUCAAAGGGUCCCUCAGAAUGGUUGGAAAUCAUUCAUAGAGGGUAAAGGCAUAAGGGAGCUUGACUGCGAGACCUACAAGUCGAGCAGGGUCGAAAGACGGACUUAGUGAUCCGGUGGGUCCGCAUGGAAGGGCCA
This 222-nucleotide ribosomal RNA is filed under the name Staphylococcus aureus. Its description in RNAcentral is "partial 23S ribosomal RNA". It matches the Rfam family "Bacterial large subunit ribosomal RNA", at positions 2223 to 2444 of the family's 2925-position model. The record is from RNAcentral. Lineage: Bacteria; Bacillati; Bacillota; Bacilli; Caryophanales; Staphylococcaceae.